CCUACGGGCGGCAGCAGUGGGGGAUAUUGGGCAAUGGGCGCAAGCCUGACCCAGCAACGCCGCGUGAAGGAAGAAGGCUUUCGGGUUGUAAACUUCUUUUCUCAGGGACGAAGCAAGUGACGGUACCUGAGGAAUAAGCCACGGCUAACUACGUGCCAGCAGCCGCGGUAAUACGUAGGGGGCAAGCGUUAUCCGGAUUUACUGGGUGUAAAGGGCGUGUAGGCGGGACUGCAAGUCAGAUGUGAAAACCACGGGCUCAACCUGUGGCCUGCAUUUGAAACUGUAGUUCUUGAGUGCUGGAGAGGCAGACGGAAUUCCUAGUGUAGCGGUGAAAUGCGUAGAUAUUAGGAGGAACACCAGUGGCGAAGGCGGUCUGCUGGACAGCAACUGACGUUGAGGCGCGAAAGCGUGGGGAGCAAACAGGAUUAGAUACCCUUGUAGUC
This 443-nucleotide ribosomal RNA is filed under the name uncultured bacterium. RNAcentral's name for it is "partial 16S ribosomal RNA". It matches the Rfam family "Bacterial small subunit ribosomal RNA", at positions 338 to 795 of the family's 1533-position model. The record is from RNAcentral.